Molecule: unclassified non-coding RNA, 377 nt
Filed under: uncultured Chlamydiales bacterium
Lineage: Bacteria; Pseudomonadati; Chlamydiota; Chlamydiia; Chlamydiales
Description: contains 16S-23S intergenic spacer region
Source: RNAcentral
UCCUGGUUAACCCAGGCAGUCUCACUAGAGUCCCCGCCUUUCGCGUUGGCAACUAAUGAUAAGGGUUGCGCUCGUUGCGGGACUUAACCCAACACCUCACGGCACGAGCUGACGACAGCCAUGCAGCACCUGUACAAAGGCCCUUACGAGCGCUAACAUUUCUGCUAGCUUCCUCUGUAUUUCAAAUCCAGGUAAGGUUCUUCGCGUUGCAUCGAAUUAAACCACAUGCUCCACUGCUUGUGCGGGCCCCCGUCAAUUCUUUUGAGUUUCACCCUUGCGAGCGUACUCCCCAGGCGGUAUACUUAUCGCGUUAGCUACGACACAAUCAGGGUUGAGCCUAAUUACAUCAAGUAUACAUCGUUUACGGCAAGGACUAC